UAAAAAUCGUAACAAGGUUUCCGUAGGUGAACCUGCGGAAGGAUCAUUAUCGAGUUUUGACUGGGUUGUAGCUGGCCUUCCGAGGCAUGUGCACGCCCUGCUCAUCCACUCUACACCUGUGCACUUACUGUGGGCUUCAGAUCGUAAAACGGGUCCCUUUACCGGGCUUGCGGAGCGUGUCUGUGCCUGCGUUUAUCACAAACUCUAUAAAGUAUCAGAAUGUGUAUUGCGAUGUAACGCAUCUAUAUACAACUUUCAGCAACGGAUCUCUUGGCUCUCGCAUCGAUGAAGAACGCAGCGAAAUGCGAUAAGUAAUGUGAAUUGCAGAAUUCAGUGAAUCAUCGAAUCUUUGAACGCACCUUGCGCUCCUUGGUAUUCCGAGGAGCAUGCCUGUUUGAGUGUCAUGAAAUCUUCAACCUGCAAGCUUUUGUGGUUUGUAGGCUUGGACUUGGAGGCUUGUCGGCCGUUGUUGGUCGGCUCCUCUUAAAUGCAUUAGCUUGGUUCCUUGCGGAUCGGCUCUCAGUGUGAUAAUGUCUACGCUGCGACCGUGAAGCGUUUGGCGAGCUUCUAACCGUCUCAGUUGGAGACAACUUUAUGACCUCUGACCUCAAAUCAGGUAGGACUACCCGCUGAACUUAA
RNAcentral lists this ribosomal RNA (639 nucleotides) under Ganoderma sp. 2 YD-2015. RNAcentral's name for it is "eukaryotic LSU rRNA". The stretch from base 251 to 404 matches the Rfam family "5.8S ribosomal RNA". The record is from RNAcentral. Lineage: Eukaryota; Fungi; Basidiomycota; Agaricomycetes; Polyporales; Polyporaceae.